Long non-coding RNA from Cylas formicarius (sweet potato weevil), 878 nucleotides. RefSeq lists it as uncharacterized. NCBI's taxonomy places the organism in Eukaryota, Metazoa, Arthropoda, Insecta, Coleoptera, Brentidae. The transcript has 3 exons. The record is from RefSeq and is a predicted model, not a curated record.
AAUUUUUUCACCACGCAGUAUCGAUCCAUCGCAACGCACAUCAUCGAUAGAGUGGCUGAUGAUACGGGAAGAGACUGCAAUGAUAACAAUAAUGGAGAAAUCAACGGUCAGGAAAUUUAGACAAGGCGUCUUCACUUGAAACCUUUGACAUUGUAUUGUCCGCCAGAAACACGUGUACUAAUCAUAAGGCUAUCUAAUACAAGAGUUAAUCAAAAUUUACUCUUAUCGUCUAAAGAAAUUUGAUGAAGUUGAUGUCUCCGACAAAAUUAUAAUAAAAACCCAAACUGAUAUAAACAUUUCUGGUCGGGGGUGAAUGAUCACUCUCACAGAGAGACACAUACAGUGGCACAUCACUCACCGACACACUCAUGUGUACACACCGAUACACACAUAGACUCACACCACUGAACACAUACACAAACGGACACACCUCUCGACCACAGAUACGCAUAAAGACACACAUAUAUACAUUUGUACAAACACGAACACAAACUUAUAUGAGCCUAUCGCUCUUUGUUCUUUAGAUUUGAUAUUGAUGCCAGCUUACGGUCGGAGGCAAAUAAGUAUACGGCCUUUUUCAGUGUUGCGAAAGCUUUUUGCAUUAUCAUAUAUACUUACUAUUAUUUAAGGAUUUUCUAAGCUAAGCUAAACAGCAAAAGUAUUUCUUGGAAGAUCGUAGAUGGGUCAACGUCGGAAGAACCUCUACAAGAACUCCCUUGCCGAUAUCAGCAUUUUAAUAGCAGCCUUCUGUCAACUAGUUAUUCGGAUUUGAAGGACAAACAACCCUUAAGCACUCGUCGAUCCAGUUCACCAUCGCGUUCCAGAGGGCCAGGAAAAGGGGCCAGCACAGAAAUCGCCAGUAAUAAAUUGAAAUGUAC